Molecule: ribosomal RNA, 252 nt
Filed under: Candidatus Staskawiczbacteria bacterium RIFCSPLOWO2_01_FULL_37_19
Lineage: Bacteria; Candidatus Staskawicziibacteriota
Description: partial 16S ribosomal RNA
Rfam family: Bacterial small subunit ribosomal RNA
Source: RNAcentral
UCAUAGGGGACUGCCCGAGAUAAUUGGGAGGAAGGCGAGGAUGACGCCAAGUCCGCAUGGCCCUUUGAUGACCUGGGCUGCACACGUGGUACAAUGGCCGGUACAAUGGGUACGAUGCCGAGAGGCGGAGGUUAAUCCCAUCAAAGCCGGUCUCAGUUCGGAUUGAGGGCUGCAACUCGCCCUCAUGAAGCCGGAAUCGCUAGUAAUCGCCAAUCAGCUACGUGGCGAUGAAUACGUUCCUGAGUCUUGUAC